Small nucleolar RNA from Tachyglossus aculeatus (Australian echidna), 138 nucleotides. The record is from RefSeq and is a predicted model, not a curated record. Lineage: Eukaryota; Metazoa; Chordata; Mammalia; Monotremata; Tachyglossidae.
CCCCUCUCAGGGUUGCAACGGGAGGGUUUCCAGUACUCUACCAGUCCCGACUACGGGAGGGAGAGUCAACCAGAGGCAUACCCAUUCCAUUCCUAGCUUGGCCACUAGCUAGUGAGUGGAAGACCAUCUGCUGCAAGU